RNAcentral lists this ribosomal RNA (255 nucleotides) under uncultured Pseudomonas sp. Its description in RNAcentral is "partial 16S ribosomal RNA". It matches the Rfam family "Bacterial small subunit ribosomal RNA", at positions 1132 to 1382 of the family's 1533-position model. Lineage: Bacteria; Pseudomonadati; Pseudomonadota; Gammaproteobacteria; Pseudomonadales; Pseudomonadaceae. The record is from RNAcentral.
UGGGCACUCUAAGGAAGACUGACCGGUGGACAAACCGGAGGAAGGUGGGGAUGACGUCAAGUCAUCAUGGCCCUUACGGCCUGGGCUACACACGUGCUACAAUGGUCGGUACAAAGGGUUGCCAAGCCGCGAGGUGGAGCUAAUACCCAUAAAACCGAUCGUAGUCCGGAUCGCAGUCUGCAACUCGACUGCGUGAAGUCGGAAUCGCUAGUAAUCGUGAAUCAGAAUGUCACGGUGAAUACGUUCCCGGGCCUU